This 230-nucleotide small RNA is filed under the name Histoplasma capsulatum var. duboisii H88. Its description in RNAcentral is "Histoplasma capsulatum H88 hypothetical RNA". The record is from RNAcentral. Lineage: Eukaryota; Fungi; Ascomycota; Eurotiomycetes; Onygenales; Ajellomycetaceae.
AUCAACGAGCAAUCCCGAACACAACAUCGCCGACGAUCCAGUCCAGAAUGCCCUCCAGAGAAGCAACGCAUGCCGGGUCCUGGUACUCAGACCACGAGCCAACCCUCUCGAGCCAGCUGGAGAAAUGGCUUGCUCAGGUCCCAGACGAGCUGCCCGGCAUCGGCCGACUUCCCAUCGCGGGAGCUAGAGUCAUCAUUGCACCUCACGCUGGCUACGCAUACUCUGGACCG